CGGAAGCACUAGUUUCAUACUUCCGGUCUGGAGCAGCAGUGGAGGCUUCGAUUACGCAGUGGCUAGUACGAGCCAAACUGGCACUGAGGAAGCAUCGGGCACUUCGGGAAACGACGCUAGGAAUGCUACUGGAACCGGACGAAUGGAACAGCAAGACUCCUGCAGUGUCAGAGAAUGCGAUCAAUCGUCUGCCAAGAAGUCGAAACACAAAUGUGAAACAUGUGGCAAACUUAUAAGUGGGGCUCAUAAUCUACCUGCACAUUACCGCACGCACACCGGCGAGAAACCAUACAAAUGUGAAUAUGUGCGAAAUCAUUCGCGCACAGGUCGAAUUUCCACGAUCAUCAACGGAUUCACACAGGUUUGAAACCCCAUAUCUACCAAAUAUGUACUAAACCAUUCAAAAGCAAAGCGGAACUUAACAGUCAUCUCAAAUCACACAGCAACGAUCGGCCUUUCGUUUGCGACAUAUGUAGUCUCUCGUUUGAGCACACUGCAAGUCUCCGAAGACACCGCAAAACAGUUCACGACUGUACAAUGCCGUAAGAGUGCAAGCAGUGUGGAUUUCGGUUCGCAAAGAAAGAACCCCGACGCACAUAUGUGCCAUAAUAAUAGGUGCCUAUUGUGUGGAUAUUCGUCUAGAGAUGCAUUUGAACUCAUUGCACAUCUGGAGACGCAUAGGGGCGGGCACUCACAACAGUGUGACUAGUGCACAAGUGCAGUAAAUCGCCUACGGGUUGUGCAUAAGAACGUGACCUUGGGAUGCUUGAAUGUCGAAGUAUACUGCAGAUCCUGGCUACAGCUCACUGUUUGCAGAAAUGUUGUUCGUCAACGUGGCAUUAGCAAACUCAUUUCUCGACAAACCCUAAUGGGCUGCGAGUUCGUGUUUUGUUUGUCUAUAAGGUUGAUAUGUUCGCUGAAUAUCCUUGACACCUCAUUUAGUUGUGCAGGCGUUCUGACACUGUAUUAGUAAACAAGCUUUACCUAACCAUCCUUUCAAUUAUUCUGCAGUGUGAAUAGAAGGGAAUACCUCUCAUUAAGAACCAUUUAAGAAGGAGGUGCUGUUUUCUUGUCAACUAAAACAAAUGCAUGGCAAUAAUUGAGGUCCAUAGCCCUUGCUGCCUUCCAGAGACAGCUUUUAUGACAAUACUUAAAGAUAAACAGGGGGAAGUUUUUUUCCGUACAAAUUGUUCAAUGCACGUAAUGUUUUGGUUCUCUCUUUGGGUCUUUUAUUCAUAUGGAAUUUUAUUGUUUAUCAUGGUGUUGACAGCAGUGAGAUUGUAUUAAACUGCCGAAUAUUUUACUAAUGGGAAUAUUUUAGCUGUUGUUUUAAUGUACAGU
Molecule: long non-coding RNA, 1341 nt
Organism: Dermacentor andersoni
Lineage: Eukaryota; Metazoa; Arthropoda; Arachnida; Ixodida; Ixodidae
Source: RefSeq, a predicted model, not a curated record